CUGGCUCAGGACGAACGCUAGCGGCGUGGUUAAGACAUGCAAGUCGAACGAGAAGCUCCCUUCGGGGAGUGGAGAGUGGCGCACGGGUGAGUACACGUGAGCAACUGCCGGGAAGCCCGGGAUACCCGCCGAGAGGAGGAUAAUACCGGAUGUGGCCACCCUGCGAUUGCAGGGGAAGCUAAAGGAUUUAUUCACUUCCUGAGGGGCUCGCGGCCCAUCAGCUUGUUGGUGAGGGCAACGGCCCACCAAGGCGACAACGGGUAGCUGGUCUGAGAGGAUGGUCAGCCACACUGGAACUGAGACACGGUCCAGACACCUACGGGUGGCAGCAGUCGAGAAUCAUUCGCAAUGGGGGAAACCCUGACGAUGCGACGCCGCGUGGAGGAUGAAGGCCUUAGGGUUGUAAACUCCUGUCAAGAGGGAAUAAGCGAGUGAAGGUACCUCUAGAGGAAGGGGCGGCUAAUUCCGUGCCAGCAGCCGCGGUAACACGGAAGCCCCGAGCGUUGUUCGGAUUCAUUGGGCGUAAAGGGUGCGUAGGCGGCGCGGAAAGUCCGGCGUGAAAGGCAGGGGCUCAACCUCUGGACUGCGUUGGAUACUUCCGUGCUUGAGGACUGGAGGGGAGACUGGAAUUCACGGUGUAGCAGUGAAAUGCGUAGAUAUCGUGAGGAAGACCGGUGGCGAAGGCGAGUCUCUGGACAGAUCCUGACGCUGAGGCACGAAGGCUGGGGGAGCGAACAGGAUUAGAUACCCUGGUAGUCCCAGCAGUAAACGAUGUGAGCUUGAUGUGGGGGGAUUCGACCCCUUCCGUGUCGAAGCUAACGCGAUAAGCUCACCGCCUGAGGAGUACGGCCGCAA
RNAcentral lists this ribosomal RNA (855 nucleotides) under uncultured organism. RNAcentral describes it as "bacterial SSU rRNA". It matches the Rfam family "Bacterial small subunit ribosomal RNA", at positions 19 to 891 of the family's 1533-position model. The record is from RNAcentral.